GAUGAACGCUGGCGGCGUGCCUAAUACAUGCAAGUCGAGCGAACAGACGAGGAGCUUGCUCCUCUGACGUUAGCGGCGGACGGGUGAGUAACACGUGGAUAACCUACCUAUAAGACUGGGAUAACUUCGGGAAACCGGAGCUAAUACCGGAUAAUAUAUUGAACCGCAUGGUUCAAUAGUGAAAGACGGUUUUGCUGUCACUUAUAGAUGGAUCCGCGCCGCAUUAGCUAGUUGGUAAGGUAACGGCUUACCAAGGCAACGAUGCGUAGCCGACCUGAGAGGGUGAUCGGCCACACUGGAACUGAGACACGGUCCAGACUCCUACGGGAGGCAGCAGUAGGGAAUCUGCCGCAAUGGGCGAAAGCCUGACGGAGCAACGCCGCGUGAGUGAUGAAGGUCUUCGGAUCGUAAAACUCUGUUAUUAGGGAAGAACAAAUGUUUAAGUAACUAUGCACGUCUUGACGGUACCUAAUCAGAAAGCCACGGCUAACUACGUG
This 497-nucleotide ribosomal RNA is filed under the name uncultured bacterium. Its description in RNAcentral is "partial 16S ribosomal RNA". It matches the Rfam family "Bacterial small subunit ribosomal RNA", at positions 28 to 507 of the family's 1533-position model. The record is from RNAcentral.